This 57-nucleotide microRNA precursor is filed under the name Taeniopygia guttata (zebra finch). RNAcentral's name for it is "Tgu-Mir-460-P2_pre stem-loop". It matches the Rfam family "mir-460 microRNA precursor family", at positions 11 to 77 of the family's 77-position model. Lineage: Eukaryota; Metazoa; Chordata; Aves; Passeriformes; Estrildidae. The record is from RNAcentral.
CCCUCAUUGUACAUGCUGUGUGAAUUUGUCACAUACACAGCGCAUGCAAUGUGGACA